RNAcentral lists this ribosomal RNA (253 nucleotides) under uncultured bacterium. Its description in RNAcentral is "partial 16S ribosomal RNA". It matches the Rfam family "Bacterial small subunit ribosomal RNA", at positions 524 to 776 of the family's 1533-position model. The record is from RNAcentral.
UACGUAGGGGGCAAGCGUUGUCCGGAAUCAUUGGGCGUAAAGAGCGUGUAGGCGGUCCGGUAAGUCGGCUGUGAAAGUCCAGGGCUCAACCCUGGGAUGCCGGUCGAUACUGCCGGACUAGAGUCCGGAAGAGGCAAGUGGAAUUCCCGGUGUAGCGGUGAAAUGCGUAGAUAUCAAGAGGAAUACCUGAGGUGAAGACGGGUUGCUAGGCUGACACUGACGCUGAGGCGCGAAAGCCAGGGGAGCAAACGGG